GACGAACGCUGGCGGCGUGCCUAAUACAUGCAAGUCGAACGAACCGCGACUAGGUGCUUGCACUUGGUCAAGGUGAGUGGCGAACGGGUGAGUAACACGUGGGUAACCUACCUCAUAGCGGGGGAUAACAGUCGGAAACGACUGCUAAUACCGCAUAGGACAUAGGAUCACAUGAUCCAGUGAGGAAAGGUGGCGCAAGCUAUCGCUAAGAGAUGGACCCGCGGUGCAUUAGCUAGUUGGUAGGGUAAAGGCCUACCAAGGCGAUGAUGCAUAGCCGACCUGAGAGGGUGAUCGGCCACAUUGGGACUGAGACACGGCCCAAACUCCUACGGGAGGCAGCAGUAGGGAAUCUUCCGCAAUGGACGCAAGUCUGACGGAGCAACGCCGCGUGAGUGAAGAAGGUCUUCGGAUCGUAAAGCUCUGUUGUUAGAGAAGAACAGCGCAUAGAGUAACUGUUAUGCGUGUGACGGUAUCUAACCAGAAAGCCACGGCUAACUACGUG
RNAcentral lists this ribosomal RNA (502 nucleotides) under uncultured bacterium. RNAcentral's name for it is "partial 16S ribosomal RNA". It matches the Rfam family "Bacterial small subunit ribosomal RNA", at positions 28 to 507 of the family's 1533-position model. The record is from RNAcentral.